This 69-nucleotide transfer RNA is filed under the name Marmota monax (woodchuck). RNAcentral describes it as "tRNA.Val". The record is from RNAcentral. Lineage: Eukaryota; Metazoa; Chordata; Mammalia; Rodentia; Sciuridae.
GGGGUUGUGGCUCAGUGGUAAAGCACUUACCUCACAUGUGAGGCACUGGGUUCGAUUCUCAGCACUGCA